CGAACUCAGACGUUUUAUUUUAAAACUAAAGAAGACUCUUUUCGAUAGCAGUAAGCUAUUACAGUGGCGACGAGGAGAUAAUUUUACCAUUUUACCGUUUUUCACAGCCGCCGGUGAGAUUUGUGACCAUUUUUGGCGUGAUUUUUCGGCCACAAUAAAGAGGCCCGAUACCAGCCCGGCGUCUAUUCAUCAAUUGUGAUCAACUGUGGUAGCCUCACGGUGAAACCGGUUAAACAGGCGAUCCCAUUUUGAGAAGCGACACUCACGUACGAGAAGUGCCAACUGUCAGCAAGUGAACAUAGCCGGAAAGUGCAUUCUGCGAGCGAAGCGUUCGUUAUCGGUGCAGUAAGGAGUGACGAGAAUAAAUUGGAUAAACUGAUUUCAUCCGGGGUGCUGCUGCUGUUGUUGUUUUUUUUGCUGUUGGUUGCUGUUGGUGUUUUGCUGCUGGUGCAUCGCUAAAUACGGAGCUCAUCUGCCUUUGUCAUAUUGUUGACAUUUUAGCUGGGAAUCAGCUUCUGGUGUUACUUAUCCGAACUGAGAAACCAAUUUAUUAAGGAUUGCUGCUGGGAGUGCUUUUGCUAAGAAGAUCAAUAGCAAGUGAACGUUUGGUGCUAUCGGCUGACUGCUUUGGUGUUUUGGAAGUGUGCUUUUGGUUUUGCACCGCCGCUGCAGAGUUAAAUACACAGAUAUCCUUAAACGGUCGGAUAGUUUCGGCGCACAAGCGUCAAAUUAAAUUUGUGGAAGACUCUCGCCGACGAUCUUUCCGUCGUUUUGUGUUUAAUGGAGAGAGUCCAGCCAUUUUAGCACAACCCAGCAGCAACACCAGCAAUUUUGAUGAAUUUUCCGGAAGUGCCGGUCAAAGUAGGAAACGUAAAAGAAGUGAAGAUGAGAGCGAAGACUCCGAUUCGGACUUUUAUGGCUUCGCGGCCGAAUCUCUUUUGUUCGAUGAGGAAGAGCUCGCCGGUACGACUUCCGUUCCUGCCUCAAAUGUGGUCGAAGUCGAUUGCCGCAGUAUCGAUGAGAGGCGAGCAUCAAGUCGGAUUGACGAAAUGGAAAAUAUUCCGGAAGAGAAUGUUCGAAUAUUCCGCGAAGAAGAACGGCCUCGACGUAGCAAAAGACAGACAGAAAAAAGAAGAAAAAGAGACUAUGUAUAUUAUUGAAAUAAGUGAUAUGAUCGAAUUCUGUUUUAGUUUUGAAAUUACGGUAGUUUAAAAUGAAGACUCGAAUAUGCAAACACAGAAUGAAAAGUUUGCUUUCUGAAUUGUUACACUUAAGUUUUUCAAUUAAAAAAAAUCUGAAUUAUAGUUUUAAGCAUUGCUAUCCUCUACUAGACUAUUAACUUAAGGGGAAAAGAGUUGUAGUGGCAAGCGUAGAUUACGCUAUUCGGUAAAAUAGCAGAACCCACCUUGAGGUUCUCUGAGCAUACAGAUAUGUUUCAAUAAACAGUUGUUACCAGAUUGACCACGAA
Molecule: long non-coding RNA, 1468 nt
Organism: Armigeres subalbatus
Lineage: Eukaryota; Metazoa; Arthropoda; Insecta; Diptera; Culicidae
Exons: 2
Source: RefSeq, a predicted model, not a curated record